CUUUUCCAAAUGAAUUUCUCCAAAUUGAAUCCCAAUCCCUAACUUCUCCAUUUUUCCCCUUUCUUCUCGGCAAAUUUCACCGCUGCGCCGACCGUCGCCGACGUCACCGCUUCCAGCAAUUCAGUGCCGACGCGAGCAUCUUCUGCUAAGGCAACGUCGUCAGUCUGCCGUCGCUGCUGUUUCGAGACCUAGAAGUCGGCGCUCCGCCGUCAGUUUAGAGCCACCAUCAUCGGCUCCUGCCACUUGGUUCUAUCAGCCCUUGCUCCUCACUCGUCGGCUGCGAGGCUCCGUUUGUCCUUUGUGCUCACAACAGCAUCGGCUCCCUGGCGCUGCUUCUUGGUGAAAACAGAGUCGUCGCCACUGAUUGAAGCUACAAUGAUGACGCCCCGUCUGUCGGGUUUGAGUUUGAGAGCCUCUUUCUCGUCCUCUGCUCCUGCUGAUGCCUUGCACGAGUAGCUACUGCUUCACCGCUGUCAAGUGCCGUUACUGCCCCGAUGAGUCCGUGUGGCUACCUUCAUGGCCUCACCGUCACCGGUAGUCAUUGGGCAGCCCUUCCGGCCCUAAAGCUAAGUUCUUUUUGCCUUAACACACUUAGUUUGAUUGAUUGUGAAUUUUGGGCAGUAGCUAUGUGGUGCUAAAGCUUUGUUCUUCGUUGGUAGUCAUGAUAAUUUAUUACUGAUCUUGGGCUAAAAGAAAUCAUAUGAUAUUUCUUGUUCCAAGUUGUGUGAAUUGGAGAUCCUAAAGCUUUUAAGUUCUUUGAGCAUGAGGUUCUAAUGAGAUGCAAGAGGGGAGUAUUUUGAUUACCUGUUGUGGAGCUAUGAAAAGUGUGGAUGAACUCCCCCUUUGCUGCUUAGUUCUCGGUCCUCACAGAACAGAAAUAUGCUGAAUUUCAGAUGUGGUGUAAGGGAAGAUUGAGGGUGGUAAGGAUGGGUCUUUAUAGGUGAUUUGGUAACUGCAAAAUCUGCAACUCUUGAUCCUCUUGCAGGGACAUUUUUGUUGGUUGUGAGAGUGUACUCGUAUAUUCAGAUCUGGGCUGCCUUAUUCUUGUUUUAUCUUGCUGCCAUUUUAACUGCAUUUGGUUGUAUGUGGAGCUUGGUGCUUUAGCUAUUAAAUGGCUUGGUUGCUGUGGCAGGUACUCAAGAAAGGGGCAGAGAUUGUUACUGCAGCUCUGCAGUUUGUUGCAGCUGGAAGGCAGACAUUGCAGGCUCAUUUGCCCCAUUGCAGCUUGCGGUUAAGGCUGGGAAAGGGCAGGGAUGGAAUAAGGACCCAUCAUGUCCGGCUGCCACCUUGAUGUUCUGAUCUCAACGGGCUGUCGAAGCCGGGCCUAAAUUCGGGCCUAAGGAAGAGGCCGAGACUUAGCAUUUCUACUUGUAAUAGAAUAGAGUCUUCUCUCUUGUUCUUUUCCAAGCUUUCUCUCCUUUCAAACAAAAUGUCCAUGGCAAGAAAAAUAUAAAAGGCAGGAAAGCUCAACAAGAGGUUGUUGCACAAAUUUAUGAUGAGUUCGCACCAUAUCAGUGCCUAACUUACUGGAGCUGUAGUGUGAGCUUUCAAAGCAUUUCAUCAUGGGCGGUAAAGAUGCCAAGAUAUCUAAGGAUGCCAAGAGUUCUAAAGAGGCCAAGAGUUCUAAAGACGCAACUAGCUCUGGCGCCAAGGGGAAGGAGAAGGAAGUGAAGAAAGAGACUAGAUUGGGUCUCUCUUAUAAGAAGGAUGACAACUUCGGAGAAUGGUACUCUGAGGUACGAGUAUGGGGACAAUCUAAUUUAGUGUAUCUGUACUGUGGGAUUUCUGAUGUUGAUUCAAAUAUGAAACACCAAACGUUUGGUUCUUUUACACAUGGAAAACAAUUUAAGGAAACUUUCGCUAGCAGAGAUCGUGUGUUGUAUUUAAAUCAGGAAAAAUAUCAUUGUAUCAACUCAGAGUAUCAUUCUAUCCGGUAAAACUAUCAUUUUAUAUACAUACCUACAAAUCAGUAAAAGUAUCAUUGUAUCAA
Molecule: long non-coding RNA, 1990 nt
Organism: Salvia splendens (bonfire salvia)
Lineage: Eukaryota; Viridiplantae; Streptophyta; Magnoliopsida; Lamiales; Lamiaceae
Exons: 5
Source: RefSeq, a predicted model, not a curated record